AGAGUUUGAUCCUGGCUCAGAACGAACGCUGGCGGCAGGCUUAACACAUGCAAGUCGAGCGCGUGAGCAAUCACGAGCGGCAGACGGGUGAGUAACGCGUGGGAAUCUACCUAUCUCUACGGAAUAACGCAUGGAAACGUGUGCUAAUACCGUAUACGCCCUCAGGGGGAAAGAUUUAUCGGAGAUGGAUGAGCCCGCGUUGGAUUAGCUAGUUGGUGGGGUAAAGGCCUACCAAGGCGACGAUCCAUAGCUGGUCUGAGAGGAUGAUCAGCCACAUUGGGACUGAGACACGGCCCAAACUCCUACGGGAGGCAGCAGUGGGGAAUAUUGGACAAUGGGCGCAAGCCUGAUCCAGCCAUGCCGCGUGAGUGAUGAAGGCCCUAGGGUUGUAAAGCUCUUUCACCGGAGAAGAUAAUGACGGUAUCCGGAGAAGAAGCCCCGGCUAACUUCGUGCCAGCAGCCGCGGUAAU
RNAcentral lists this ribosomal RNA (470 nucleotides) under uncultured bacterium. Its description in RNAcentral is "bacterial SSU rRNA". It matches the Rfam family "Bacterial small subunit ribosomal RNA", at positions 8 to 524 of the family's 1533-position model. The record is from RNAcentral.